This 381-nucleotide long non-coding RNA is filed under the name Medicago truncatula (barrel medic). RNAcentral's name for it is "long non-coding RNA (MTRU_LNC007125)". Lineage: Eukaryota; Viridiplantae; Streptophyta; Magnoliopsida; Fabales; Fabaceae. The record is from RNAcentral.
UAAACUCAAUUAAAUAAUUAAAUAAAACAAAUAAUUCAAAGAGGGUGUUACACAAUCUCUCCAGGAGCAUCCUUCUUCUUAGGUCGUCUAUCUUCGACCAUCCUCUGUUUGCACUUAUCAGCAGGGGCACUGUAAGGCUUAGGGCGACUCUGCUGACCCUUAGUCUUCCGCUCAUUCACAAUCUUGUAAUGAGCCUUAGUAUCCUCCUCGUAGAUCCUGCAACUGCUCACCAGCUCAGAGAAAACUCGAAUCUUCUGGUAAUCAAUUGCCCUCUUAAUCUCAUCAUGCAAACCGUUCUCAAAUUUGAUACACUUUGAAAACUCAGGAGUCUCUGGAGUGUAGUGUGGAUAUAACUUUGCCAAUUCCACAAACUUGGCAGCA